GGAAGAGCACGUUCAUCAAGCAGAUGCGCAUCAUCCACGGCGCCGGCUACUCGGAGGAGGACAAGCGCGGCUUCACCAAGCUCGUCUACCAGAACAUCUUCACCGCCAUGCAGGCCAUGAUCCGGGCCAUGGAGACGCUCAAGAUCCUCUACAAGUACGAGCAGAACAAGGCCAAUGCGCUCCUGAUCCGGGAGGUGGACGUGGAGAAGGUGACCACCUUCGAGCAUCAGUACGUCAGUGCCAUCAAGACCCUGUGGGAGGACCCGGGCAUCCAGGAAUGCUACGACCGCAGGCGCGAGUACCAGCUCUCCGACUCUGCCAAGUACUACCUGACCGACGUUGACCGCAUCGCCACCUUGGGCUACCUGCCCACCCAGCAGGACGUGCUGCGGGUCCGCGUGCCCACCACCGGCAUCAUCGAGUACCCUUUCGACCUGGAGAACAUCAUCUUCCGGAUGGUGGAUGUGGGGGGCCAGCGGUCGGAGCGGAGGAAGUGGAUCCACUGCUUUGAGAACGUGACAUCCAUCAUGUUUCUCGUCGCCCUCAGCGAAUACGACCAAGUCCUGGUGGAGUCGGACAACGAGAACCGGAUGGAGGAGAGCAAAGCCCUGUUCCGGACCAUCAUCACCUACCCCUGGUUCCAGAACUCCUCCGUCAUCCUCUUCCUCAACAAGAAGGACCUGCUGGAGGACAAGAUCCUGUACUCGCACCUGGUGGACUACUUCCCCGAGUUCGAUGGUCCCCAGCGGGACGCCCAGGCGGCGCGGGAGUUCAUCCUGAAGAUGUUCGUGGACCUGAACCCCGACAGCGACAAGAUCAUCUACUCACACUUCACGUGUGCCACCGACACGGAGAACAUCCGCUUCGUGUUCGCGGCCGUGAAGGACACCAUCCUGCAGCUCAACCUCAAGGAGUACAACCUGGUCUGAGCGCCCAGGCCCAGGGAGACGGGAUGGAGACACGGGGCAGGACCUUCCUUCCACGGAGCCUGCGGCUGCCGGGCGGGUGGCGCUGCCGAGUCCGGGCCGGGGCCUCUGCCCGCGGGAGGAGAUUUUUUUUUUUCAUAUUUUUAACAAAUGGUUUUUAUUUCACAGUUAUCAGGGG
This 1104-nucleotide long non-coding RNA is filed under the name Homo sapiens (human). RNAcentral describes it as "long non-coding RNA NONHSAT179357.1". The record is from RNAcentral. Lineage: Eukaryota; Metazoa; Chordata; Mammalia; Primates; Hominidae.